Molecule: ribosomal RNA, 490 nt
Filed under: uncultured bacterium
Lineage: Bacteria
Description: partial 16S ribosomal RNA
Rfam family: Bacterial small subunit ribosomal RNA
Source: RNAcentral
AGUGAACGCUGGCGGUAGGCCUAACACAUGCAAGUCGAACGGCAGCACAGUAAGAGCUUGCUCUUACGGGUGGCGAGUGGCGGACGGGUGGGGAAUACAUCGGAAUCUACUUUUUCGUGGGGGAUAACGUAGGGAAACUUACGCUAAUACCGCAUACGACCUACGGGUGAAAGCAGGGGAUCUUCGGACCUUGCGCGAUUGAAUGAGCCGAUGUCGGAUUAGCUAGUUGGCGGGGUAAAGGCCCACCAAGGCGACGAUCCGUAGCUGGUCUGAGAGGAUGAUCAGCCACACUGAAAGUGAGACGCGGUCCAGACUCCUGCGAGGGGCAGCAGUGGGAAAUAGUGGACUGUGGGCAAGCCUGAUCCAGCCAUACCGCGUGGGUGAAGAAGGCCUUCGGGUUGUAAAGCCCUUUUGUUGGGAAAGAAAAGCAGCAGGUUAAUACCCCGCUGUUCUGACGGUACCCAAAGAAUAAGCACCGGCUAACUUCGUG